AUGGGUGACUAUCCAGCACGGUUCGGAGAGCACUUUUUGUCAGCGUUGGUGAAUGGAAGCCCCUCUAUCAAGCAAGAAAGAAGCGGCUAUUCCCACGACGGAGUCACCAUUGACUCUAUUUAUUAUUAUGGUGUAUUCUUAUACAUUUUCCCAAAAGAACAUUCAUUCAUUUCUUUCUUCCCCGUCGACCACGACGACUGA
RNAcentral lists this long non-coding RNA (201 nucleotides) under Vicia faba (fava bean). The record is from RNAcentral. Lineage: Eukaryota; Viridiplantae; Streptophyta; Magnoliopsida; Fabales; Fabaceae.